Molecule: ribosomal RNA, 253 nt
Filed under: uncultured bacterium
Lineage: Bacteria
Description: partial 16S ribosomal RNA
Rfam family: Bacterial small subunit ribosomal RNA
Source: RNAcentral
UACGUAGGGGGCAAGCGUUGUCCGGAUUUAUUGGGCGUAAAGAGCUCGUAGGCGGCUUGUCGCGUCGUCCGUGAAAACCUGGGGCUCAACCCCAGGCUUGCGGUCGAUACGGGCAGGCUCGAGUUCGGUAGGGGAGACUGGAAUUCCUGGUGUAGCGGUGAAAUGCGCAGAUAUCAGGAGGAACACCGGUGGCGAAGGCGCCACUCUGGGCCGAAACUGACGCUGAGGAGCGAAAGCGUGGGGAGCGAACAGG